ACGCGUCAAUGUCUACUACAAUGAAGCUUCUUGCGGAAGGUUUGUUCCUCGUGUAGUGCUCAUGGAUCUGGAGCCUGGAACCAUGGAUAGUGUACGGGCUGGCCCGUACGGCCAGAUCUUCCGUCCAGAUAACUUUGUUUUUGGACAGUCUGAUGCCGGGAAUAACUGGGCCAAGGGUCAUUACACGGAAGGAGCAGAGAUGAUUGACUCGGCUCUUG
Molecule: long non-coding RNA, 218 nt
Organism: Telopea speciosissima
Lineage: Eukaryota; Viridiplantae; Streptophyta; Magnoliopsida; Proteales; Proteaceae
Exons: 3
Source: RefSeq, a predicted model, not a curated record